Molecule: transfer RNA, 64 nt
Filed under: Ectenagena nautilei
Lineage: Eukaryota; Metazoa; Mollusca; Bivalvia; Venerida; Vesicomyidae
Description: Calyptogena nautilei tRNA-Pro
Source: RNAcentral
CAAAAUAUAGUUUAAUAAAAAUUUUAAUUUUGGGAAUUAAUGAUACUAUUUUUAGUUAUUUUGA